UUGUUAUAGCGCGUAUACAAGAAAGAUGGGGCGCUUCGUGUCUGCAUGGAUCCGAGAGAAAUCACGAACAUAAAGUGCGAGCACUAUCCAGUUCCAACAAGGGAAGAGAAUGAGGCCGAGCUGUCGGGCGCAAAAAAAAAAAAAAAAAAAAAAAAGUUCGGCUGGAUGCCAAUGCAGGCUUUCAUAAAUUUCCAUUGGACGAAGCGACAUCGCGAGUGUGCAAAUUUGCAACGCCGUUUGGACGUUACCGUUUUCUGCGUCUUCCGUUUGGAAUUUCGUCAGGGAGCGAAGUUUUCCAGAAAACGCUAACUGAAAUAUUUGAGGGACUAGCAGGCGACCGGAUAUACAUAGACGAUAUUUUAGUGUGGGGUGACAGUGAACAACAGCAUAACGAACGCCUAUACAUGCCGUGCGAAAACGGGCAGAACAAGCAGGCCUGACAUUUAACCUACAGAAAUGCGUGUUCUGCUUGAAAGAAAUUGAGUUCUAGGGUAACGGUAAUCGGGGAACAUAGGAUACGUCCGACUGAUAACCUGAUUGAAAGCGUGCGCUCGCUACCCACACCCACAGAUAGGCACUCGGUGCGUAGAACGAUGGCUGUUGUAAUCUAUUUUCGGAAGUAUGUCACUGCGUGAUAAGACAAUGUUGCUUCGGAGCUUCGUAAAAGAAUACGUCAUGCUUGAAUGAACCGUUGCGCAUGAGCAUGAAUGGGCGAAGGUGUGCGACGCAUUGACAAACCCCCUCCGUUACUCGCGCUCUUUGACAAAGCGAGGGACACCAAGGUCACUGCGGAUGCUUCGGGAACUGGUCUAGGCACGGUACUUCUGCAGCGACAUGGGAGUGACUGGCGUCCAGCGAGUUCGUGCCUGGCAAGACAUGGUUCUGGCGGGCAUGUUGUCUCGUGCACCUUUGUCAUCACAGGCGUCCAGUGCACCGACAGACGUCGACUUCCAUGCGGUACAGGUCGUCUCCAGUAUCGUAACCACGCCAAUGAAGGUGCGUCUGGUAAAGGAAACCAGGAAUGACCCGUACUUAAGCGAGGAUGAGCGAACAAAUUUCAAAGGGUCCCGUCAUCGAUGAUUAACUCAAGUCCUUUGCAGGGGAACUAUAACUGCUGUAGAAGGAAUAUUGCUGAAGGGCUGCAAAGUGGUCAUACCCAAAACGAUGAGAGCAGAAAUUCUUAAACGAAUUCACGAAGGACACCUCGGACUGAAUAAAUGUAAAGCAAGAGCACGGGGAUUGGUAUUCUGGCCUGGGCUUAGCGGUGCUAUUGAUGCGUUCGUUCGGAGGUGCCGUAUAUACUUGCCAAAAGUAUGCAUACAACCAGCAGAAUAAGUCCCCUCUCGUGCAGGUCCACCCCGGACAGGCCGUGGCACCGUGUGGGAAUUGAUAUUUUCCAGUUUGGGGCAGCUUCCUAUGUCAUCGUGUACGAUGCCCACUCUAAUUUCCCGACGUGGAGAAGCUAAGGGGCACCACAGCAAAGAAGUCAUAGCCAAAGUAUCGGCUAUUUUUUUUUUCACGGUACGGCAUCCCGGUUUAUGUAUGCACUGACAACGGGCCCCAGUUUGGAUCGCAAGAGUUCCGUCUGUUUGCGCACAAAUGACUUUCAGCAGAUCACGUCAAGUCCGGAAUACCCGCGGUCAAAUGAACUGGCAGAGAAUGGGGUUCAGAUUGUUAAGCGCAUCCUAAAGAAGACUAAUGACUCCCACGGUCACUUUUGGCUGGGUUUUAUAGCCAAUCGUUCUUCUCCCCAAGGUGAUGGCCGCUCUCCUGGCGAACUACUGCAAGGCCCGCACCUUCGCACUGCCCUGCCCAGGUACCACGAGGAUCCAGGUGUCCCAGUAGGAAAGUAUCACCAGUCUUCGAAGGGCAAGCUACUGCCACCGCUCAAAGAGGGAAGUUCGGUUCGCAUUCGAAAUGGAGACUGGUCACGCGCAGCGACAGUAAGCAAGAAAGCAGCUCCAAGGUCGUACAUGGUGAAGACCGAGGACCAGCGGAUGCUGAGGCGAAACAGGCAACACCUGGUACACACACCAGGAAACGAUGACCUCAGCCCUCAGGAACAACGACAUAGAGCCAGACACAGCAUGAUGGACCCACGUCUUUAAUGCAUGAUUCAGACCAUGCAGGUGCAAACUCGUCUGGUCUACGAAAGUCAACCAUGGCAACGUACGGAACCUCAACGAUUGCAUUAUGAUAG
RNA transcript from Dermacentor silvarum, 2200 nucleotides. RefSeq lists it as uncharacterized. The record is from RefSeq and is a predicted model, not a curated record. Lineage: Eukaryota; Metazoa; Arthropoda; Arachnida; Ixodida; Ixodidae. The transcript has 3 exons.